RNAcentral lists this transfer RNA (77 nucleotides) under Patescibacteria group bacterium. RNAcentral describes it as "tRNA-Ala". It matches the Rfam family "tRNA". From Rfam's summary of the family: Transfer RNA (tRNA) molecules are approximately 80 nucleotides in length. Their secondary structure includes four short double-helical elements and three loops (D, anti-codon, and T loops). The record is from RNAcentral. RNAcentral also lists the same sequence under 1 other name.
GGGCCGUUAGCUCAGCUGGCUAGAGCGCCUCCAUGGCAUGGAGGAAGUCGCAGGUUCAAAUCCUGUACGGUCCACCA